GAUGAACGCUGGCGGCGUGCCUAAUACAUGCAAGUCGAGCGGACAGAUGAUGAUCUUGCUCCUCUGACGUUAGCGGCGGACGGGUGAGUAACACGUGGAUAACCUACCUAUAAGACUGGGAUAACUUCGGGAAACCGGCUCUAAUACCGGAUAAUCUAUUGAACCGCAUGGUUCAAUAGUGAAAGACGGUUUUGCUGUCACUUAUAGAUGGAUCCGCGCCGCAUUAGCUAGUUGGUAAGGUAACGGCUUACCACGGCAACGAUGCGUAGCCGACCUGAGAGGGGGAUCGGCCACACUGGAACUGAGACACGGUCCAGACUCCUAAGGGAGGCAGCAGUAGGGAAUCUGCCGCAAUGGGCGAAAGCCUGACGGAGCAACGCCGCGUGAGUGAUGAAGGCCUUCGGAUCGUAAAACUCUGUUAUUAGGGAAGAACAAAUGUGUAAGUAACUAUGCACGUCUUGACGGUACCUAAUCAGAAAGCCACGGCUAACUACGUG
This 497-nucleotide ribosomal RNA is filed under the name uncultured bacterium. RNAcentral's name for it is "partial 16S ribosomal RNA". It matches the Rfam family "Bacterial small subunit ribosomal RNA", at positions 28 to 507 of the family's 1533-position model. The record is from RNAcentral.